GACGAACGCUGGCGGCGUGCUUAACACAUGCAAGUCGAACGGAAAGGCCCUGCUUUUGUGGGGUGCUCGAGUGGCGAACGGGUGAGUAACACGUGAGUAACCUGCCCUUGUCUUUGGGAUAACUUCAGGAAACUGGGGCUAAUACCGGAUAGGAGCUCCUGCUGCAUGGUGGGGGUUGGAAAGUUUCGGCGGUUGGGGAUGGACUCGCGGCUUAUCAGCUUGGUGGUGGGGUAGUGGCUUACCAAGGCUUUGACGGGUAGCCGGCCUGAGAGGGUGACCGGCGACAUUGGGACUGAGAGACGGCCCAGACUCCUACGGGAGGCAGCAGUGGGGAAUAUUGCACAGUGGGCGGAAGCCUGAUGCAGCAACGCCGCGUGCGGGAUGACGGCCUUCGGGUUGUAAACCGCUUUCGCCUGUGACGAAGCGUGAGUGACGGUAAUGGGUAAAGAAGCACCGGCUAACUACGUG
This 468-nucleotide ribosomal RNA is filed under the name uncultured bacterium. Its description in RNAcentral is "partial 16S ribosomal RNA". It matches the Rfam family "Bacterial small subunit ribosomal RNA", at positions 28 to 507 of the family's 1533-position model. The record is from RNAcentral.